This is a long non-coding RNA of Drosophila mojavensis, 720 nucleotides long. RefSeq lists it as uncharacterized. The transcript has 3 exons. The record is from RefSeq and is a predicted model, not a curated record. Lineage: Eukaryota; Metazoa; Arthropoda; Insecta; Diptera; Drosophilidae.
ACAGCUGAAAAAAAUAAUAAAAUAAAAAUAACGAAAUGAAAGUAAAACAAAUAAAAACCAAAAACAAACAAAACUAAGUGCAGCGUAAUACUUAUAUGUACGAGUGUAAAUGUAAUGAAUUACAAGUUUUGCAGGCAGCGCGCUGAAUAACGAAAUUAUAUAAAUAAUAUAAAAAACCCGCACACACACAGAACAUUAACAAUAACAAAAUCAAAAACCUUUCAAUGCCUCCAGAAUCUGCAUCCCAACCUGAUGGCCAUGCAAAUAUGGUAGUUAUUGGCGGCCGUAAACCCUAAUGCAAUUAACAGGAAUAACUGAUUUCUCGAUUCAGAUGCAAGUGGGUGAAUAAAGUGAUUUGUUGUGAAUAGUGACGGGAUGAAUCGGAAUCGGAAUCAGAAUCAGCAGCCGCAGCAGCAUCGGCAGGAGGAACAGCAGCCGUCGGCCCACACGCUGGCAGGGGCAGGAAGGAAAGCCGGAUUGACAACCUACAUAUAUUACCACUUAUGUGCAUGCAUAACAACAUAAAAACGUAUUUGAUUAAGGACGAUGGUAUUAACGAAUCAGACAGUGUGGCCCACCUUAAUACAUACAACAUAAGGAACUAACUGUACAUCCACUGUACAUACAUAGGCCUUCAAGGUAAUUGAAAUCCAUAUGGCAUACUCCAUCCAACAUAUUUAUGUGCGCGUGUGUGUGUGUGAAGACGUAACGCAACGAAGC